Misgurnus anguillicaudatus (oriental weatherfish) is the source of this 4402-nucleotide non-coding RNA. The record is from RefSeq and is a predicted model, not a curated record. NCBI's taxonomy places the organism in Eukaryota, Metazoa, Chordata, Actinopteri, Cypriniformes, Cobitidae.
UGUUUUCCAAUCGCUCUCGCGGUACUUUGAUGUCAUGCGUCGCUCGGUCUUGCGCAGCGCCUCGUGAAAUCGAACACACCUAAUGAUAACGGCUGUUUUGUCACCGAGGGCAGUUUUCUCACCACCCUUCAUGUUGCACUAUGCGCGCUUUCCUUAUCCGCUAGUAAAGGAGGCAGGGUUAAUGAAUGUUAGUUCUCGUGCUUCAUGUGUGCUGAAGUGGCUUAUACUCAUUGAUCUUUCACUUAAUAUCCUAUUAAACACACGCCCAUAUACGCAAUAUAUGAAUGGAUUACAAUUAAAAUACAAGAAGUACAAGUUAUCUGGUAUAACAGGAAUAUUAAGUUGUAGCCUAGCAACAUAGUUAUUAGUCUAUUAGUGCGGAGAUGCAAUAAAGGGAUUAUUUGCUAAACAACUGUGAGUAGUUUUAGAAUAGUAAAAAUAGCUACCAAAUAUUUAUCACUAUUUUAAUAAUUAUUCUUUGAUUAACAUUAUGUUUAACUGAAACAGACUAGUUCUUACUAGUUACUUGUAAUAAACGAGUUGGUACCAGGAAGUAAUGCAAGCUAUAAAUAAGUACAGGUUAAAAAUAUAAAAAAAUGAAGAGUAAUGGCUCGUUGUGACACAGGUGUGAGCGCGGGGCGUGGACGUAGGCAGUGCGGCGGGUUCGAGGUUGCAGGUGCGGGAGAGAGAGAGAGAGAGAGAGAGAGAGAGAGUCAUACAGAGAGAGAAAGAGAGAGAGCAUGCGUGAAAGCCGAGCUCUUUUCAGACCGAUUAUAACGAGAAAAGAGGGAGAGGGAGGAAGACAGAUUAAACAGAGCGAACACAACUGUUGUUUUAAUCCUCUGAGCGGAUAGAUUUAGAGGAGAAAAGCUACUGGUUUGGAGAAGAGCAGCCAUAUUGCAUGGACCGCUGGUGGAAUAACAGGACUCAGUCGAGCAGGAUCUCAGAGUUUGGCAGAAAACAUCCAGACUUCAUAACUGCGGGAUCCGUUGCCCGGACAGACUUCACUAAACUCUUACUGUAGAGACCAUAGUUUUUAGUUUCUAUUUAUUACUCGUUUAUUUUAUUUUUAAACUCUACACGAACGUACGCAAAGAUGAAGGACCGACUGGAUCAACUAAAGGCGACGUGCGAUCACGAUGAUGAAGACGUUGAACUCGCUGUGGACAAUGCUGCUUUUAUGGAUGAGUUCUUCACUCAGAUUGAAGACAUUAGGAACAGCAUCGAUAAGAUCGAUGAGAACGUGGCUGAAGUGAAGAAGCUUUACUCGGUUAUUCUUUCUGCACCAACAUCAGAUCAGAAAACACAGGAUGAUUUGGAGGCGCGAACCAACGAUAUCAAGAAAAUGGCAAACAAUGCCCGUAACAAGCUAAAGACCAUUGAAAGAAAUCUUGAGGCUGAAGAAGUGGAGAGAGUAUCAGCUGACAUGAGAAUACGUAAAUCACAGCACGCUGUUCUUUCCAGGAAGUUUGUCGAUGUGAUGACCAAAUAUAAUGAAGCACAGGUGGACUUCAGAGAGAAGAGCAAAGGUCGCAUUCAGAGACAAUUAGAGAUCACUGGUAGAACUACAACCGAUGAGGAGCUCGAGGAGAUGCUGGAGGGGGGAAACACAGCGGUUUUCACAGCGGGGAUCGUGGAUUCAGGAAUCUCUAAGCAGGCGCUGAGUGAGAUCGAAUCGCGUCACAAAGACAUUGUGCGUCUGGAGAGCAGUAUAAAGGAAUUGCAUGACAUGUUUGUGGACAUCGCUAUGCUGGUGGAGAGCCAGCUCCCAGUUGUCUUAUUCGUUUUGUUCAUUCUCAUUCUUUGCCUCGUUCGCCACAUGCAACGUGUUGAAGUCUCUCUGCUUUCCACAUGUGAGUGCUCUGUAUCUCUCCAUUGUUGGCAUGACCUGCUCAUUGACUUCUCAUUUUCAUUAAUUUGCAUCAUUUGGUCACACACUAUACACACCUACUCCAUCACCAUGGUUUGCAUAGAAGAAAUGAAAGAUAUUAGCUCUAUUCCAAAACCAAGUGAGCCUACUGAGACAACAUUUCAGGCAACGUAAGAACAAAUAUGUCUUUGUGUUCUUGUAGCUCAAUUGGUAGAGCACAGAUCAUAGGUUUGAUUCACACAUACCAAAAAAUAGUGUAUAUAAAAAAUAAAAUUUCAGACGUAACACAUUUUCUAUUCUGUGCAUUCCAGGAAAUGUAAUUAAGUGGGUCUGGCUAACUCGGCACCCCCACAUGUUAGACUGAGUGUGAUGGACAAACUUGUAAAAUAAUCCACUCAACAACAAAUGAACGAGUAAUUUUUGUAUUUUCAAAAUAAGCUAUAAGUCUCUCUCUCUUGCUCGCUCACUCUCUCUGUGUUCUCUCGCAUCCAGAGGUCUCUGGAUAAAUAAAGCACUUCUCGCACAUAAUGCUAAUAGUUGUUAGUCUGAACUUUAAGCAAGCUAAUGGUGGGUUUACACCAAACGCAAAUUCAAUGAUUUGCGCGAGUAGAUUAUAUACAAAGUCAAGGCAAAGACGCAAAUAGACACAAACUCGUGCAGGGCGAUACGAAUGACUCGAAUUGGGUGGCACGAUUGCCCAGAAAACGCACGUCUUUGCGCAAGUUAAAAAUAUUAAACUCAAGGGAAAACCACGAAAGUUAAAUCCCAUGAGUAAUCUAGAGCGAGGAACUUGAUGCUUCACGUUAGGUGUGUAUGCAGCAUAAUGGUGCGUUCACACCAGACUCGAAUGAACCGUUAAGCGCAAAGCAAUUUACAUGUUAAGUCAAUGGAAAGACGCGAUAGACAUCCUGCGGCACGAUUCAUGCAAAUAAGGUGACGCCAAUGACGUUUGAAGCGCGUAAAACGUGAUUCGCGUUAACCAAUCAAGAGCUUAUUGAGUAGUGACGUGAUUACGACGUAGCAAGUGGAGGCAGAAAUACGAAACAACAGUGGAGGACAAAAUCAUCGUCGCUGUAUGGGGACACCCAGAGCUGUACGAGACAUAUUCGUACUUUAAUAGAAACAGGAAUAAAAAGGAUCUUGCUUGGGAAAAAGUGAGUGAGGGGGUCGGACAAUCUGGUAAGUUGUUAAAAACGUAUACGUGUUAAAUAUAUAUUGAGAAAAUAAGCUAGCUAAAGCCGGCAAAUUGAACGUAUUGGGGUCUGAAUUUCACACAGGAAUGAAGCGUUAACUCAAAUUGUUCAAGCGUCCAACUAACGCGCAAAUAGCGUGAUUUAUUUGCGUCUGGUGUGAACACGCGCAGUAACGGUACAUUCACACGAGAAAGAAGCGUUAGCGGUUGACGGAAGGCUUGUCUGAAGCGUGGCCAACAGCCAAUCACCAUGGCCGCAACACAUGCUCCGGUCUUCCAUAAACGUAAUUGGCUGGUUCAGCCUAGGUUAUUUGCAUAAGGCGAUCUGAUUGGCUGACGCAUGCGUUGCUGCUUGAAAAGUUGAGAAAUGUUCAACUUCUGCUGCGAGCAACGGCACUGACGCGUCACAGACUGAUCCACAAUUCAGUUCGACAACGCAUGACGUCACCCAUUUAAAGGGAAUGGAAAGCGUGAACGCUUACGCCCCAUGUGAAUGUACCAUAAGACAAAAACUUACCUCUAGCUUAAAUGCACCGUAAGUCACUUCUGCCGAAUUCAUAAGUGUAAUGCCGCCUUACAUGAUACUUCAUUUUUGGAGAUGCUGUUAUGGUGCGUUCACACCAGCCGCAGUAGAGGCGGCAAAAACGCGUUUUUUGCGCGUAGUUGGAUGCGUGAACAUUUUGAGUGAAAGCUGCGUGUGAAAUUUUAGUCAUUCGAGACAUUCACCCGGAAAUUCGCGUCAUGGGAGGGACUUCUGCGACUCUGAGACUCCGCUCGCUUCCUGUAAUCACGUCACUACUAAAGCAAGGUCCUGAUAGGUUAACAAGGCGCCAAAGUUCAGAUCUUUUAACUCACACUUUUUCCGCGGCAACGUUCAAUUCGCACGGAAGGCGCCAUCCACGCAUUCAACGCCAUUCGCACUGCAGGAUUCGGGUCUUUGCAUUGACUUAACAUGUAAAUCACUCACGCUUGGCGCCUCUACCGUGAACGCCCAGUGAAGGUGUAGACUGUAGUUUUGGACCAGAGCUAAAUGUUUACUUGAUCUGAUAAUAAUUUGAUCACAUGAUCUAAAGAACAGUGAUGCAUAUUUACCACUAUUAUUUUGCUUAUUAACUGCUUGCUGUGGAGAAAUACUGAGAGGGAAACAUGGUUGAUAAUAUUGAAGUGAAUGUGGGCAAAGCUGUUGAUCACAUCGCAGUGGCAAAGGAUGAAACCAAGAAAGCUGUCAGGGUGGUAUGAUUGAAAGGAUUGAGAGCAACAUGGACCAAUCAGUGGGUUUUGUGGAACGGGCGGUUGCCGACACUAAAAAAGCCGCGAAAUAUCAGCAAGAGGCCCGGCGU